Molecule: long non-coding RNA, 529 nt
Organism: Macrobrachium nipponense
Lineage: Eukaryota; Metazoa; Arthropoda; Malacostraca; Decapoda; Palaemonidae
Exons: 2
Source: RefSeq, a predicted model, not a curated record
GUGCGCCCACCAUUGAAGCUGAUCCACGGAAGAGAAUUAGCAACCCAAAGGCAUUGGUGAGUUGGGACAAUCCAAGGAGUUCCACCAGGAUGAUGGACGAAAGGGAGAUGUAGGCAGCUGUAAUGAAUCCCCUCUCAGGGUACCCUACCCUGGUCACCUGCACUCAGGGGUUGGUAGGUGGGUGGAAAGGAUACCUGACACUGGAGGGCCCAUGAUUCCGGCAAGUCCACGGAAGAUACACAAAACACCAAAGGCAUUGACGAGCUGCCUGAGGCCCAGUAGAUCCACUAUGAUGAUAGAGGUGAGGGCGAUGAACGGAGCUGGUGGAGAGUAUCACAGAGAGGAAUAAUUGUCUAUGAGUUUGGUGGGGUGAUUUAUAUGCAAGAUCAAUGAAAAGAGGAUUGAAUUUUUAUAUAAUGUAUUGUCUGAUAUUAUACACAGUAUUUAUGUAUACGUGAUUUCAAUGUAUUUCUUUUGUAAACAUAACACUGUAUCUUUGCAAUUAUAAAAACCAAUAUGGAUGUGAAUA